UGGGGAAUAUUGCACAAUGGGCGCAAGCCUGAUGCAGCAACGCCGCGUGAGUGAAGAAGGCCUUCGGGUCGUAAAGCUCUGUCCUGUGGGACGAAAAAAAUGACGGUACCACAGGAGGAAGCCCCGGCUAACUACGUGCCAGCAGCCGCGGUAAUACGUAGGGGGCAAGCGUUAUCCGGAAUCACUGGGCGUAAAGGGUGCGUAGGUGGUCCAUCAAGUCAGAAGUGAAAGGCAGUGGCUUAACCACUGUAAGCUUUUGAAACUGACGGACUUGAGUGCAGGAGAGGUAAGUGGAAUUCCUAGUGUAGCGGUGAAAUGCGUAGAUAUUAGGAGGAACACCAGUGGCGAAGGCGACUUACUGGACUGUUACUGACACUGAGGCACGAAAGCGUGGGGAGCAAACAGG
RNAcentral lists this ribosomal RNA (406 nucleotides) under uncultured bacterium. RNAcentral's name for it is "bacterial SSU rRNA". It matches the Rfam family "Bacterial small subunit ribosomal RNA", at positions 355 to 776 of the family's 1533-position model. The record is from RNAcentral.